CUACGAGAUAACUAAAGAGGAGCAAAAGGUCAGAGAAACAGCGCCCUCUGCGUUAGAUCUUAUAUAUCGUCAGUUUGGUGCAGUCAAAAAGAUGAAGGCCGGACGUCAAUAUAGUGAAGACGAUUAUAAGAAACUCAAAGACAUGCUUAGAGCUCAACAGAAGCGAUACAUCAGAUAUCAGAUAAACCUUUAAAUAGAGUUUUAUAGACCAUGGCAUGUUUGGGAAGCAAACUGAAAAAGCAAAUAAUUGGUUAGUCAUACAUAUACAUUCUGAAUCUACAUGACAAUGGCCCUUUGAAUGUCGUUUUAAAGGGAUGCUCCGGGCCGAAAGUAUUUAUAUCUAAAUAAAUGGAAUAAAAUU
Molecule: long non-coding RNA, 361 nt
Organism: Lytechinus variegatus (green sea urchin)
Lineage: Eukaryota; Metazoa; Echinodermata; Echinoidea; Temnopleuroida; Toxopneustidae
Exons: 2
Source: RefSeq, a predicted model, not a curated record